This 613-nucleotide ribosomal RNA is filed under the name fungal endophyte. RNAcentral's name for it is "eukaryotic LSU rRNA". The stretch from base 179 to 332 matches the Rfam family "5.8S ribosomal RNA". The record is from RNAcentral. Lineage: Eukaryota; Fungi.
UAAAGAGUUCUAUAACUCCCAAACCCAUGUGAACAUACCUAACGUUGCCUCGGCAGGUCGCACCUACCUUGUAGCACCCUACCCUGUAGGGCCUACCCGGGAGGUGCGGGUAAGCCUGCCGGCGGCCCACCAAACUCUGUUUGAUAUUGAAUUCUGAACCUAUAACUAAAUAAGUUAAAACUUUCAACAACGGAUCUCUUGGUUCUGGCAUCGAUGAAGAACGCAGCGAAAUGCGAUAAGUAAUGUGAAUUGCAGAAUUCAGUGAAUCAUCGAAUCUUUGAACGCAUAUUGCGCCCAUUAGUAUUCUAGUGGGCAGGACCGUUCGAGCGUCAUUUCAACCCUUAAGCCUUCGUUGCUUAGUGUUGGGAGCCUACGGCAACGUAGCUCCUCAAAGUUAGUGGCGGAGUUGGUUCACACUCUAGACGUAGUAAUUUUUUAUCUCGCCUAUUAGUUGGACUAAUCCCCUGCCGUAAAACCCCCAAUUUAUAUCAAGGUUGACCUCGAAUCGGUUCAGACAAACUCGCUAAAUUGAAGCAUCUUAGUCAGCGAAGGAAAAGAAACCAACAGGGAUUGCCCUAGUAACGGCGAGUGAAGCGGCAACAGCUCAAAUUUG